Long non-coding RNA from Leopardus geoffroyi (Geoffroy's cat), 3161 nucleotides. RefSeq lists it as uncharacterized. The transcript has 8 exons. The record is from RefSeq and is a predicted model, not a curated record. NCBI's taxonomy places the organism in Eukaryota, Metazoa, Chordata, Mammalia, Carnivora, Felidae.
GAGGUUUUUUUCUUCUUUCCUUUUUUCUUACAGAACCUGAGAAAAUGGACAGCACUGUUGGGGGCUUGUGAGUUCCUGUCACAGUACUGAGCUUGAACAAUUUCGAUUAAAGCCCCAUGUUUGAGACUGUCAUUAGACCUGCAUUAAAUUACAUAUCUGGAGUGUUAAAAAAUAAAGAGUACAGUAGCUUUUUCUCAGCUACCUAAGGUGAGUGAAACUGCAAGUUGAGGCCCUGUCCACAUAUAAAUACUGGAAGAGCUGAAAUCCAGGGAGACUGCUGAAAAAAAAAAUUGACAACAACAACAAAAGACUUUAUUUUUUAUUGCACAAGGCCCACAUAUGACUUUGAAUAUUUUUUAGUCUGUUGUUUGGUGACGCCUAAGAAGAGUCCUGCUGCCAAUGUUCCUCACCUUGCCUCCCGUGGAAAGGGAAUGAUGUGCACAGACUCUUGUUAUGCAAAGGGAAAAAACAAGGGACAAUAUGUUGCUGCUGAUGCAGGUGAUGAUGAUACAACCCAGCAGAAGAUGAACUUCUUCCUGAAGAUGGAGCGACUACUCCUGGUCUGUGAUAAGGGAACCCCUGUUUGGGGCUGCCAUGUCUCUCCCAAACUUUUGUUAUCAGUGGAGCUUAGAAUGUAGACCAUCUGUCACAGAGGAAUAUAAUGACAUCAACUUGUCCUCCAGUGCCACUGUAACACAUUUUGAGAGAAGUUCGCGUAUUUGCUGAGAACAUGUUCAGGGAUCCUCUUUCAGCUGCCCCUGCUUGAUUGCUCCCAGAAUGCACUGCUGAUGCCUCUACGGCAGGAAGUUUUCACCAGACAGCAUUUUCAAAUACGGGGGACAACAGAAUGACAACCCAGGAAAAGAGAAACAAAGAACUGAAUGAAAGGAACCUGCCCAUCUCACAGACACUCCGCCAUCUGAAGCGUCCCUGAAGUAUGGCUAGCUCUCCAGCUGGGCACUCCCAUCUCAGAGAAUGGGACCUACACUUCUCCUGAGAGAUGAGCCCAACGCCUAAUGGAUCUCAAUGUCAGAAAGACUUCCGCGAUACCCAUCUCACAUCCUCCUCUCCUGAAUUUCUUCACAUUACUCUCAGAGCGCAGCUUCGAGGAAAGGAGAAUGGCCUCUCCAAAGGAAACCAGCAACCAACACUGAAAGGUCUCUGCCGGCUCUCUGAGGGUUACCAGGAAGCCCGAGACCUGGGGACUCCUCUCAAGCAGUAUCAUCUUGUUAGAAAAUUACUCAGAGAUUAAGGAGUACACGCGUCGUGAUGAGCACCGAGUGACGUAUGGAAGUGUGGAAUCACUAUAUUGUACACCCGCAACUAUUGUAACACUACAUGUAUGUGACCUAUACUGGGACGAAAAUAAAAACUUAAAAUUAAAAAAAUAAAAUUACUCAGAGAUAGGCAAAAUCACAUCAAGGAUGGGAUGCAACCGAUGCUAAGCAGAAAAGACAAUGGGUGCCAGAAAAGUUCAGAGCGGGGGAGUGCACUGUAGGCUGAAGACAUAACUGAGGGCUUCACGGUAGGGCAGAGUUUGGGCAGGAUCUCACAGGAGUAUAAUCCAGACGUGUCUGCAGGAAGCAGUGAAAGGCAAUGGGGAAAGGAGGUAGACAAGGUGAGGAGCCAGGUUUGUGCCACAGGGGUUCUGGUGACAAUGUGUGGUCAGAGAGACUCAACGUGAGGUUAUUGAAGUCGCCCCAAAGUCAUCUGUUGCCAUCAUCUAAGUGUUCUCCCCUACUUCUCAAAUGUUCUCCAUAAUCUAGAACUUCCACUGACCGCAGUCUGAGAUGAGCCUAAGAAAGAAACUUCUGGCCUCUGUUCUGGUGUAAUAUACGCUGUAGCCUGAGUUUCAAAGAAAGCAGAGCCUAGGGCAAUGGUGUAUGUGCUUCUCUUUGAUUAGGGAAUAAAGCCCAGGAAGCAAAUGAGGGAAAAGGGGGUAAGACAAGAAAGAGAGUGCUGAGCUGGCCCCUGCUGGGGAGCAAGUGUCACUGCUUGCUCCAUGUUGUGGACUUUCUCCUAAAAGGAUGCCCUUUUAUGGCUGCAUCCCACAACACUUGGUUGGUAAGAAGCAGGAGGAAGAUUUAUCUGUCAGCUUCUGCCUACCAAUGGCCAAAGGUUCCCUCCAUGGGACCUUAGCUUCCCUACACUCCGGGGCUGUGCACACAUGAGUUCUCAGUUGUCCUGUAGCCUCACACACCUUGGAGUCAAUAGGAGAAAAAGCCAGGAUGGGGGAGCAUGCACUUAGAUCCGUUCAUCCCUGAAGUGGCACUUGUGUCCAGAAGCUUCAUAAGUGAGCUGAGAUCAUCUGAACUGGCACACAGAGGUGCCUGACUCAUAUGACAAGCCUUUUCUCCUCAUUCCAUGAAUUCUAUCGUUUUUUAAUCUUCAGGUGGUUGUCUUAAAAACAGCAGUCCUGAAAGAGUGAACAUUGAAAGACAUUGAACAAAAAGUCCUGAAGAUCAAAACACACCUUCCCCUCCCCUCCCAGGCCUUUCCCUGGGAUAUAUCAGGGCCUUGUUUCAUCUUUGACAAAUGUGGAACAGGACUACGUAGUAGUCUUUACUAAUUAAAUAAGCAACUUUUCUGUGGAAAUAUCAACUGACGUCAAAUAAUAGCCAUGUACCCCACUAAAAAGGAAGGAAGUCCUAGAAUAAUGUCAGAAUGUGUUUUUCCCAUUCCACCUUUUCCUAUCUCCUCUGCUAAGUAAAGAUGUAGGCACUUUGUAAACAGAGACUGAACAUAUAAAGAUAGAUUUAUAGAAUGUUUAGUGGAUGAAUGAAUGAAUGAAUGAAUUAAAAGUCAACUCAGAAACCGACCAAGAAACCCUGACUGAAUAUCCAUAGCACAAACCAGUAAUUCUCCAGCUUCAGCUUGCAUCAGCAUUACUGGAGUGGGUUUGGUAAAACAGAAUCCCCUGAAAGGGUUGUCAGAAAACAGAACCCAGUUGUUCCCAAAUGUCACUGAUGCUGCUAUACCCUCAGACCAUACUUUGAGAACCAGUGCACAAGCCAACCUGAAUCUGUCACUUUUGGUCAAACAACUGCUAACCCAAAGGUCAUGGGAAUAUGUGUAGAUUAUCUAAUUUUUCUGAAUAAUUUAGGUUUAACCUGAAAAAUCUUUUGGUCGAGGAGGAUUUUGGCUUGAGCAUAUUAACUGCU